AUGGCCUGGGCUCCUCUCUUCUUCAUUGUCACCACUCUCUUCACAGGGUCGCUCUCGCAGCCUGUGCUGACUCAGCUGCCCUCUGCAUCUUUCUCCCUGGGACGGACACACAAACUCACCUGUAUCCUGAGCAGUAACUACAGUAAUUAUACCAUGGACUGGUUCCAGCAGAGCCAGGGGAAGGGCCCCCGGUUUGUGAAGCGAGUGGGUACUAGUGUAAUUGUUGGCUCCAAUGGGCAUGGAAUCCCUGACCGAUUAUCAGGAUCAGGCUCUGGCUUAGAUCGGUACCUGACUAUCCAGAACAUACAAGAAGAAGAUGAGAACGUUUACUACUGUGAAGUAAACCACGGCAGUGUCAGUAGCUUUGUAUAA
This is a non-coding RNA of Cavia porcellus (domestic guinea pig), 372 nucleotides long. Lineage: Eukaryota; Metazoa; Chordata; Mammalia; Rodentia; Caviidae. The record is from the annotation of a RefSeq genome assembly.